AUGCUCCCAUCAGGUUUUCAAGCCGGUGUUGCAACGAGGCCCCGGCUGCCCUCUGGAUCGUUCCCUCCAAGCUGUCUGCGGACUCAGGGAGACGUCACCGGGCAGGCGGGCGGCGUUUCGCAUGCACUGGACAGUUCUCCGAGAGAGGCGACCCCGACGCCUCCUUCCAACAGCGCGAUUCUGCAGAGGCUGCAGGUGCCGCGUGGCCACGUGUCUCGCGUGGCCCCAGCCUGGCGAGGGCAGAGGGUGGCUGGCGGCAGCGCCGGCCGGGAAGCACCGCGGCGAGCCGGCACCGGGCUCGGCUGCCGACUGCUCCACUCUGGGCCACAGAACAGGUUCAGGAGCUUUCCCAAACGGGGCCGGGAUGAAAGUGCAGCUCCGAGCCUCCUCCGAGAACCACGGCCUCCCAGAGCAUCGCCCACCCUGGCCCCAGCCCCGGCCCCACGUGGGGUCCCCCCGCCCCGGCCCUGGGCGCCCGCCGGUGCUGGCGCCGCGCUGGGGCUGGGCAACCCUCCUUGGCACCGCCACCAAGGAGGCGGCAGCGGGAGGAUGCCGGAGUCCAGCCCCCGGGGCGAGCGGGGAGAGUCCUGCCGGGAAAACCACCGGGAUGGGGCUGGGCAGGGCACGCGCCUCGGGAACAACGGCUCGGCGAGGCCGGAGAGGCCAGGGCAACAGCGAGGAUCCAUCCCCACCAGCACCCUCCCAGCUCCCGCGCGCUCGGAGGGGCUCCUUGGCUUUAUUCGCCGCCUCUUAACGCGCAGAAUGAGGCUGCUUCCUUUCUGCGCUGGUUUUCGGUGGGGUCUGGCUGGUUUUGACACUGGUGCCUGGUGCCCGUUUGGCAAACUGCAAAGAGGAAAACUCUCCGGAGGGAGAUUCCAGGCCUGGGCUUUUGUGGCUGAGGGCUUGGAAACUUCCCACUCCCCUUCUGCGGUCCUCCAGCGAGACCUCCAGCCGGAGUGGGCACACUACCGCGCAGGUAAACCGAGGGCGGCAUUCAGCCUCCUACCCCAACCACUCCCCGUCUCCUCAGACACCUCUGAAGAUGCUGGUUUUUCCUUCCCCUUCUCACCCAGGCCGUCGCCAAGGCGGCACGGCCCCCUCCAAGGCGGAAGGAGCCGGGAAGCAGCCCGCGGGCAGCACCGGUGCGGCGAUGCCAAGCAGCUGCCUGCCCGGUGGGACCCGUCCCUGGCAGGAGCACAAAGAGCUCCGGAGGAGGAGGAGGAGGAAAACAAGGCUGGGAGGGAAAGGCGCUCCCGGGAAUAA
Molecule: long non-coding RNA, 1263 nt
Filed under: Apteryx haastii (Great spotted kiwi)
Lineage: Eukaryota; Metazoa; Chordata; Aves; Apterygiformes; Apterygidae
Description: lncRNA (ENSAHAG00000008919.1)
Source: RNAcentral